GACGAGCGCUGGCGGCAUGCCUAACACAUGCAAGUCGAACGGAGUUAUGUUGAUUGAGAUCUUCGAAUGUUUACAUGAGACGAAAAUUUAGUGGCGGACGGGUGAGUAACACGUGAGCAACCUGCCUUUAAGAGGGGGAUAACAUUGAGAAAUCAGUGCUAAUACCGCAUAAAGCUAAUUUAUCGCAUGAUAGAAUAGCCAAAGGAGAAAUCCGCUUAAAGAUGGGCUCGCGGCUGAUUAGUUAGUUGGUGGGGUAAUGGCCUACCAAGACAAUGAUCAGUAGCCGAGCUGAGAGGCACAACGGCCACAUUGGGACUGAGACACGGCCCCAGACUCCCUACGGGAGGCAGCAGUCGGG
This 358-nucleotide ribosomal RNA is filed under the name uncultured bacterium. Its description in RNAcentral is "bacterial SSU rRNA". It matches the Rfam family "Bacterial small subunit ribosomal RNA", at positions 28 to 359 of the family's 1533-position model. The record is from RNAcentral.